RNAcentral lists this ribosomal RNA (468 nucleotides) under uncultured bacterium. RNAcentral describes it as "partial 16S ribosomal RNA". It matches the Rfam family "Bacterial small subunit ribosomal RNA", at positions 28 to 507 of the family's 1533-position model. The record is from RNAcentral.
GACGAACGCUGGCGGCGUGCUUAACACAUGCAAGUCGAACGGAAAGGCCCUGCUUUUGUGGGGUGCUCGAGUGGCGAACGGGUGAGUAACACGUGAGUAACCUGCCCUUGACUUUGGGAUAACUUCAGGAAACUGGGGCUAAUACCGGAUAGGAGCUCCUGCUGCAUGGUGGGGGUUGGAAAGUUUCGGCGGUUGGGGAUGGACUCGCGGCUUAUCAGCUGGUUGGUGGGGUAGUGGCUUACCAAGGCUUUGACGGGUAGCCGGCCUGAGAGGGUGGCCGGCCACAUUGGGACUGAGAUACGGACCAGAAUCCUACGGGAGGCAGCAGUGGGGAAUAUUGCGCAAUGGGCGGAAGCCUGAUGCAGCAACGCCGCGUGCGGGAUGACGGCCUUCGGGUUGUAAACCGCUUUCGCCUGUGACGAAGCGUGAGUGACGGUAAUGGGUAAAGAAGCACCGGCUAACUACGUG